UCCUAGUACGAGAGGACCGGAGUGGACGCAUCACUGGUGUUCGGGUUGUCAUGCCAAUGGCACUGCCCGGUAGCUAAAUGCGGAAGAGAUAAGUGCUGAAAGCAUCUAAGCACGAAACUUGCCCCGAGAUGAGUUCUCCCUGACUCCUUGAGAGUCCUGAAGGAACGUUGAAGACGACGACGUUGAUAGGCCGGGUGUGUAAGCGCAGCGAUGCGUUGAGCUAACCGGUACUAAUGAACCGUGAGGCUUAACCUU
This 255-nucleotide ribosomal RNA is filed under the name Pseudomonas aeruginosa. RNAcentral's name for it is "partial 23S ribosomal RNA". It matches the Rfam family "Bacterial large subunit ribosomal RNA", at positions 2676 to 2925 of the family's 2925-position model. Lineage: Bacteria; Pseudomonadati; Pseudomonadota; Gammaproteobacteria; Pseudomonadales; Pseudomonadaceae. RNAcentral also lists the same sequence under 1 other name. The record is from RNAcentral.